CCUACGUGUGGCAGCAGUGGGGAAUAUUGCACAAUGGGGGAAACCCUGAUGCAGCAACGCCGCGUGAAGGAAGACGGUUUUCGGAUUGUAAACUUCUGUUCUUAGUGAAGAAUAAUGACGGUAGCUAAGGAGCAAGCCACGGCUAACUACGUGCCAGCAGCCGCGGUAAUACGUAGGUGGCAAGCGUUGUCCGGAAUUACUGGGUGUAAAGGGAGCGCAGGCGGAAGCCAAGUCAGCUGUGAAAACUACGGGCUUAACUUGGAGACUGCAGGUGAAACUGGUUUUCUUGAGGGGAGUAGAGGGUGGGCGAAAUUCGGGGUGAGCGGGGAAA
Molecule: ribosomal RNA, 331 nt
Filed under: uncultured bacterium
Lineage: Bacteria
Description: partial 16S ribosomal RNA
Rfam family: Bacterial small subunit ribosomal RNA
Source: RNAcentral